RNAcentral lists this transfer RNA (72 nucleotides) under Dipodomys ordii (Ord's kangaroo rat). It matches the Rfam family "tRNA". Rfam says of the family: Transfer RNA (tRNA) molecules are approximately 80 nucleotides in length. Their secondary structure includes four short double-helical elements and three loops (D, anti-codon, and T loops). Lineage: Eukaryota; Metazoa; Chordata; Mammalia; Rodentia; Heteromyidae. The record is from Rfam by way of RNAcentral.
GGAGGUCUGACUCAGUAGUAGAGCAUCUUUCUGGCAAGGGUGAGAACCUGGGUUCAAACUCCAGGACUUUCA